GUAUGAUGGUCAUUCCUGUGCUGCCAUCUGGUAGGUGGCCUUGUGACAUCAGUGAAUAGGAAUUCUCUCACCUCAUCCUUUACUGGAAAUGGCAGCUAUUCUGAUGUAAGUCAGAUGGGUCAUCUUGGCGUGGAAGGAAUGACACUUCAUUCAUUCAAGGCAGCUCUCCUGAACUGAGCAACGGUUUCUUCUUUUGCCCUAAUUCAUGAAGCUUCUCAGCUGACGCAUCCAGCCUUCCCUGGGAUCUACUCCCUACCAUUAUAUGGAUAGGAGGCCACACAAGUCAUCCGCACCCCACAAAACUGCAUAUGCCAAGAAGGUGUAGCUGAGGUUGAGCUCCUCUGGCCUGAGGACUGAUCAUGAAUGCUGCUAGAGCUUAGGCAGCUUAAGAAAAUUCAAUCUACGCCUGGUUAUUGAGCACGGACUCCAUACCAGGGACUGUGGUGGACAGGAGGGAUACAGCUGGAAACAGGAUGUGGUCUCUGCUCACAAGAAGCUAGUCUCCUGGAGGAGAUGGACAUACAUAGAUGCAAACACCUGUCACUUAAGGUCAGGAAUUACACACUCAUAACAGAAGUAUGAAUAAAGCACUUUUUGGAGAUGCAUUCGAAUAAGAGCAAGCUUCACAUACAUGCUGGCAUUUUAUCUGGGCCUCGAAGGAUGAGUGAGGUUUCAAUAGUCACAGAGGAUGUGGGGGUGGGAAGGGUGGAGUAGGACAUUUAAACUAAGGGAGCCAUGUUAGCCAUGGUCCCGUGGUAUGAACUUGCAUGUUGGGAGUGUGAGAGUUGUCUAGUACAGCUGGAAGGCGCAGGCGUGGUGUAGGAGGACUAACAAGGCCAGAGAGGAGACUAGAAAGGCAAGUUGGGGCCAUUGUGGAGGG
This is a long non-coding RNA of Panthera uncia (snow leopard), 880 nucleotides long. RefSeq lists it as uncharacterized. Lineage: Eukaryota; Metazoa; Chordata; Mammalia; Carnivora; Felidae. The record is from RefSeq and is a predicted model, not a curated record. The transcript is spliced from 4 exons.